This 253-nucleotide ribosomal RNA is filed under the name uncultured bacterium. RNAcentral describes it as "partial 16S ribosomal RNA". It matches the Rfam family "Bacterial small subunit ribosomal RNA", at positions 524 to 776 of the family's 1533-position model. The record is from RNAcentral.
UACGGAGGGUGCAAGCGUUAUCCGGAUUUACUGGGUUUAAAGGGUGCGUAGGUGGGUUGGUAAGUCAGCGGUGAAAUCCCCGAGCUUAACUCGGGAACUGCCAUUGAUACUACCAGUCUUGAAUACUGCGGAGGUUAGCGGAAUAAAUCAUGUAGCGGUGAAAUGCUUAGAUAUGAUUUAGAACACCGAUUGCGAAGGCAGCUAACUACACAGUUAUUGACACUAAGGCACGAAAGCGUGGGGAGCGAACAGG